UGGUUGGGGUGAUGGCCUACCAAGGCGACGACGGGUAGCCGGCCUGAGAGGGCGACCGGCCACACUGGGACUGAGACACGGCCCAGACUCCUACGGGAGGCAGCAGUGGGGAAUAUUGCACAAUGGGCGGAAGCCUGAUGCAGCGACGCCGCGUGAGGGAUGACGGCCUUCGGGUUGUAAACCUCUUUCAGCAGGGACGAAGCGUAAGUGACGGUACCUGCAGAAGAAGCGCCGGCCAACUACGUGCCAGCAGCCGCGGUAAGACGUAGGGCGCGAGCGUUGUCCGGAUUUAUUGGGCGUAAAGAGCUCGUAGGCGGCUUGUCGCGUCGACCGUGAAAACUUGGGGCUCAACCCCAAGCCUGCGGUCGAUACGGGCAGGCUAGAGUUCGGUAGGGGAGACUGGAAUUCCUGGUGUAGCGGUGAAAUGCGCAGAUAUCAGGAGGAACACCGGUGGCGAAGGCGGGUCUCUGGGCCGAUACUGACGCUGAGGAGCGAAAGCGUGGGGAGCGAACAGGAUUAGAUACCCUGGUAGUCCACGCUGUAAACGUUGGGCGCUAGGUGUGGGGGGCCUCUCCGGUUCCCUGUGCCGCAGCUAACGCAUUAAGCGCCCCGCCUGGGGAGUACGG
RNAcentral lists this ribosomal RNA (626 nucleotides) under Micromonospora sp. MP38-F2. RNAcentral describes it as "bacterial SSU rRNA". It matches the Rfam family "Bacterial small subunit ribosomal RNA", at positions 250 to 885 of the family's 1533-position model. Lineage: Bacteria; Bacillati; Actinomycetota; Actinomycetes; Micromonosporales; Micromonosporaceae. The record is from RNAcentral.